GAUGAACGCUAGCGGCAGGCCUAAUACAUGCAAGUCGAACGAUAUUUUCCAGCUUGCUGGGAGAGAAAGUGGCGCACGGGUGCGUAACGCGUAUGCAACCUACCUUUAUCAGGGGGAUAGCCCGGAGAAAUCCGGAUUAAUACCGCAUAAAAUCACAGGAUGGCAUUAUCCAAUGAUCAAACAUUUAUGGGAUAAAGAUGGGCAUGCGUGUCAUUAGCUGGUUGGCGGGGUAACGGCCCACCAAGGCGACGAUGACUAGGGGAUCUGAGAGGAUGACCCCCCACACUGGUACUGAGACACGGACCAGACUCCUACGGGAGGCAGCAGUAAGGAAUAUUGGUCAAUGGGCGCAAGCCUGAACCAGCCAUGCCGCGUGCAGGAUGACUGCCCUAUGGGUUGUAAACUGCUUUUACCCGGGAAAAAACCUACUUACGAGUAAGUAGCUGAAUGUACCGGGGGAAUAAGGAUCGGCUAACUCCGUGCCAGCAGCCGCGGUAA
RNAcentral lists this ribosomal RNA (498 nucleotides) under uncultured bacterium. Its description in RNAcentral is "partial 16S ribosomal RNA". It matches the Rfam family "Bacterial small subunit ribosomal RNA", at positions 28 to 523 of the family's 1533-position model. The record is from RNAcentral.